GACCGCGUAGCUCAGUUGGAAGAGCAUUGGACUAGUAUUCCAAAGGUCGUAGGUUCGAAUGCCAUGACCGUGGCCG
Molecule: non-coding RNA, 76 nt
Organism: Paramuricea clavata
Lineage: Eukaryota; Metazoa; Cnidaria; Anthozoa; Malacalcyonacea; Plexauridae
Source: the annotation of a GenBank genome assembly